Seriola aureovittata is the source of this 5515-nucleotide RNA transcript. It is a transcript of the gene named cilia and flagella associated protein 61, with no coding region annotated. The record is from RefSeq and is a predicted model, not a curated record. The transcript has 27 exons. NCBI's taxonomy places the organism in Eukaryota, Metazoa, Chordata, Actinopteri, Carangiformes, Carangidae.
UAGCAACUACCGCAAUUAAAAGUUACAGCUUUUAUGGAGCUAACGUUACGGACAAUCGGUUCUAAUUUCACCCGCAAGUAAUAGAAAGUUAGCUUAUAAAUCUAGUAUUGUAGUUUCUCAGAAAGGAACCCGCUAAAUCUGAAGAUGAGGACCAUAACUUCAGACAGCGGUGAAGAGGAAAAUGUGGCCGUGAGAAGAAGUGAAUCAGCGGAUGCUCAGGGGAUUGACGGCCUCAUCAGCUUCUCGUCUCUGUCGGUGUUUGGAAGAGUGAAUGUUAUUCAGCUUCUAGAGAAAGCCAACCUGGCUGUGACCCUGGCCAAUGAAAAGGACGAGAUCCUGGCCCACGCUUCCUUCUUUGAUCACCCUGUUGGAGAUUUGGUGGAUCAGGCUCACUGGGAGCCUUUCCUGCAGGAACACUUCAGCGCUGAAAACUGCACGGCACUGAACACACUCUUCCUCCACCUAUUUGUGGCACAGUUGAAUUUUGCCACAGCAAGUGUAAAGGAGAUAAUGAGGGCUGUCUUUAAUGCCGUCGCAGAGGUGGAAUACGUCUGUCUGCUCAGCCCAAACAUCGACGACUUAGAGCCAGCGCUGGAUGGCGUGUUUGAGCCGUUGCAGCGCCUGACUGACCCGGGGCCACAGUGCGUAGCGUUAAUCUGCCACAGACAGGAGCACUGUCCGAGGCUGCACAUCCGGCCUGCCAGGGUUGACGAUCACGAUGACAUUAUGCACAUAUUUGAGAAGCAGACAAAACUAUCCUCAGUCGUAGAUCAGCCGUACUUCCUGGCAGAAGUCAUUGAGGCUCAGAAUGAAGAGAGUCACUCUGCUGUCUGUGAGAUUGACGGAGUCGCUGUUGGCUUCAUCAGUGUCACGUCUGAUGUUGAUUUGAAACAGCUGCGCAACAACUUUGAGCUCAGUGGAUUCAAUGGUUUGUACAAACCGCAGCAAACCAAACCUGCUGCUGCUCGUUCUGACCCGAGAGACGAUGAAGAGGAGCAGAGGCGGACCCAAAGCUCCACCCCUCAACAGGAGGAGACGCAGGCAACCGGAGCUGGAGGGUUUUCAAAGAAACCCAACGCGUUCUCUAUCGAGUUCUUCAUCAUUGACAAGCAUUAUGAAAUGAGAUCAGUGGACGUUAUUCCAUAUGUAUUCAAACUUUUCCCUGACCUGGAUUUCUGCGUCAUCACGGUACCGACUCUUUCCAACGAGUUUCCGUUGCUGCAGAGUUUCCUCAGGGUGCCGGCCCGCGCCACCAGCUUGCUGCUUCGCGAACUCUACAUUUUCCACCGCGACGGGCUGAGGCCUGUGGACGUGAGGCCGGCUGUGGCUGCAGACCGGCCCGCGGUCUCUGAUCUAGUAAAGGGUCUGAGACGGCACGAGUCCCUGCUGCAGGACCUGGACCGCUUCUACAGGACCCGCAGUGACCCGGACGGGGUGCCGCUGCAGGCCUUCGUGGCUCAGGUGGACAGUCGGGUUGUGGGGAUUCUGAUCAUCAGAGACGAGCAGGACGUGGAGUACAUCCGUGCCCACUACAACAUCGAGAACUUCAUCUACUUCAGUCACCACAGCUACGAGGAGCACGCUGAGAUUCGCCACUUGGUCCUGAAACCCUCCUUCCAGCACUUCACCAAACACUUGUUUAAGGAGGUCCUCCGGCUGGCUCACAGAUCCUGCCUGCACCACAGACUCUACCCCCCCUAUCGCAGCCAGGAGGAUUCCUGCGUCCACCAUCUGGAUUUCGUCCUCAACUGUGCAGUUCCCGUGCGCCCGCGACGCCAAAUCAUCUACCCACUGGAGGAGCUUGGCAUCAACGCCCCGUCCAGGCGGAUCACCGAGGACCAGGCACCGUUUGCUCUCAGCCUCAUCAGCAGAAAGUUAACCAUGGAGCCAAAGGUCACCGUUAAUGCCAGGAUUGUCGUGGUGGGGGCGUCAGACACAGGUUUAUCGUUCCUUGAGGUGCUCUGUUUCUGCCCUCACCUGAGGUUCAACAACCUGACCCUGGUCUCAACACACGGUUUCCCCGGCGACUACAACCACGAGGACGUCGGAUUCCUGUCCACAAGUCAUGCAUACAGCAGCAGAGACUUGGCCCAGCUCCCUCUUCACUCCUGCAUCAACGUGGUGACCGGGAAGAUGGUGAGCAUCAACAGGAAGUCCAAACACAUCCGGGUGUCUGGUGGUAAGAAGGUUCCCUACGACCACCUCAUCCUCUGUACAGGCCUGCAGCACCGGGUGCCCUGUCCCUCCGGUGUGGACCUCAGCCAGCCGGUCACUAAUAGCCAGCUGCAGCCUCAGUCUGCUCACCGCAGGUACACCGGGCCCGUCCCCUCCAACCUCUUCACCCUCAACGACCUCUAUGACUGCAUGGCUGCUCGCCGCUGGCUGUGCGCCAACUUUGUAGAGCUGGAGGAUAAAGCCAUCGUGUACGGAAACAACAUCGAUGUCUACACCACAGUGGAGACUUUGCUCGGCCUUGGCGUCCACGGGUCUCGUAUCCAUCUCGUCCUCCCGCCUCCUGAACCCGGCGUCUCCUGCUUCGGUGACCCCGCCGUGGAGGAAGCCGCGGCGACUGCCAUGGAGAAGGCCGAGGUCCACGUCCACCACAACUGCCUGCUGGCCCAGAUGAAAAACGGCGAGCACCCCGACCUUCUCACCUCAGCGUCGUUCACCACCGACGCAGAGCCUCUCCAUCUGCAGUGUGGCGUGUUCAUCAACCUCUCCAAUAAAGGAGUCGACUACGACGCCUUCACGAGCAUCAACAACUCCUUCCUGGUCUUCGACAGCCGACUCGUCAUAAACGCCGCUUUCCACACCAGCGACUCGGCCGUUUGCGGCGCCGGACCGCUCACCAAGUUCUCCCGUUGCUACCACACGGACGAGUGGUCGCACGCCCACUUCAACUCCAAGGAGGUGGGCCGGGACCUGGCAGCCGCGAUGCUGCCCCUCUUUGACCCGACGCUGGAUCCCGCCGACGAUCCCCCGCCUGAAACGGAUCGUCUCGUCCCGCUGUACAAACAGGCCAAGAUUCGAGGUGGGAAGCUGCCUGGCGGAUACAACUACCUGCACGUUACUAAACCGUCUGCGAGCAACCUGACUGGUCCUACUGUGAAACAUCUACAGGACAGAGGGAUUGUGACCGGACGAGUGGAGACGGGGAACUACUUCUGUUUGCAUCUGGACUGCUUCGAGCUGGUGGAGACGCUCACCUGCCUCUCUCUGAAGCCCCUCCCCGUCUCCAAUUACCUGACUCUGUAUGGGAAACACCAGCAGCUGCUGGGCCAGCUGCUGAGCCGCUACCACCAGGCCCUGAUCCACGAUCUGUACAGCUUCUUCAGACAGAGCUGCUGUUUGGCCGUUUAUCACGACAGAUUCUCCGACUUUGAGCAGGAGCUUCAGCAGAUCACCUCGACCAAAUUCCAGGACGAUGAGUGGAGGCAGAAGGUGAUGAUGGGCGGACAGGACAGGUUUGAAGACGCUGAGACUCGAGCUGCGGUGAGGAGCAGCGCUGUGAAGUAUCUGACCUACAACAGGAACCUGCUGCCCAUGUUCGCCUGCCCGGGACAGCUGUGACAACGGAGGACAACAACUUGACAAAGUGUUUUUAACCAGUGACGUAUCUCAACAACUAUCGGAUGGAUUCCCUUUGAAUCUGGUUCAUGUCUCCAUGGAGAGGAAGUACUGGCUCUACAGGUGGCGAGUUACAUCACACCGGCUCCCUCAGAUUUGAAUCCACCUCCUCCUCCUCUGCCCUGCCCUCCAUUACGGCCGCCCUCUCUCCCCCUCUCAGCUGCCGCCUCCCCUCACGCAUCUUCUCUUAUCUCCAACACACUCAAACAAAGAGGAAACAAAAAAAACAAAAAAGAAAUAAAAAGCAGGAGCAGACAGAGUAAACACGGCCUCGCUGCCUCUCUGCGUAGGCCCACGUAAGUCAAACAAACCUCGGGGGCAUUUUCCAGGCCGGCAGGUGUUGGUGUCAGAGGCAGGCGAGCGUGGCAUCGAGAGUCAACAAGUGGAGGGAAACAAGCGGCGAGAGCCUGACACACUUAAAACUCAGGAACACAGUGUUUUUAGUGAAGAUUAAACUUGAGCUGGAGCUUGUAGAGUGUUUGCCGUUUGUCUUUCGCUCACUGGACAUGAAGCUGCCGAAGUUAAAACGCUAAAUCCUCAUCAGAUUCACGCUCCAUCUUCACCGUUGUCGUGUUUCUGCAAGUCGUGUCAAUCACAGCAAAGUGGGUGGGACGGUUUGCAACAUUCAGCUAAUUUUAGCUUCUUCAAGUCCGAGCACUUGUGUCCUGCGACAUGUGACCAGAGAAAUGACCAAGAUUGCUAACAGAACAUGCUAACAUCAGCAUGCUAACAUGUAGAUGCUCAGCAGAUAUAAUGUUUAUGACAUUCAUCACAAUUAGCAUUUUAGCAUGCUAACAGUUGUUAAUUCUCAUAAAACACAAAGUUCAGCUGAGGUCAGAGUCAGUCAAAAUGUCCCUAAGAUGAAGAGAUUAGAAACCUCGACCUGCUGGUAGCACGAGUUGAGGAGGAUUUGUCCUCUGGGGACCAUGACUGUCUCAAAAAGAUUUGAUUGCCAACGGUCGUUCAGGUGUUUCAGUCCGGACCAAAGUGGUGAAGCAACUGACUUAGAGCUGCUUUAAAUCCAGAGUAAGUGAACUACAGGUCGUACAUCAUGUAGGAAAUUCAACAUGUAUCUGACGUCAUAGAAACUCCCACAUGAUGUGAACGUAACACCAGGAUCAUGUUGCUCAUGUGAGCAGUUUGAUUCGCUCUGGUCGCACCUUGGAGAACACACUGUGUCGGUACAUGCAGCCUGUUUGGACCCGUGACGUCAGGGUCUGCAGAUGACAACUGAUGGGUUUAACAGAGCAGGAUACAGCUGGCUGUGAUACCCAUCUCCCCUCUGAUUAGCAGGGCUCAAAUAAAACCUUAAUCGCCUUGUUGACUUGAAAGGCUCUCAAAGUGGGAAAGCUAAUUAACUCUACCCAGCAGCACACGGGCCGAGAGGAAUUCUAACCUCUGGGGCUUUUUCAUUAUCCCGGUCAUUUGGUUUGUAGAGUAAAAAAUAAAAUAAUGAAUAAAUAUGUAAGAAUUACAACAAAAAAUAUCCAACUGUGACACAGAGUGUAAAAUAUUAUUGGAAAUGAAAAAAAUUCAGGAGAAUAAACCGAACAGUCUGAAAAAUACAAAAACAUAUUUGACCAGCAGCUGCAUUUACGUGAAGAACGUACGAAGGAUGUGAACAGGCAGGAGACGAUAACAUCAUCAGUGUCAGAGUCAGACAGAUCAAUAUUGAUUAGAGAUUAAAUAUUGUUACUGUUGUCUCAGUGAUACUCUGGUACUCUCUCAGUUUUGAUUUAUUUGUUCAGUCUUCAGCUCUGCUUCUCUGAUUGUACACAGACUUGUAAACAUACAUAUACUGUACAUUAACCACCCACUGCAUGUACUGUAACGUAAUACUCCAUCCAGACUAUAAUACACUUUGUAUGUACAAUAUUUAUUCUAGCAC